This 1451-nucleotide ribosomal RNA is filed under the name uncultured bacterium. RNAcentral's name for it is "bacterial SSU rRNA". It matches the Rfam family "Bacterial small subunit ribosomal RNA". The record is from RNAcentral.
GAUGAACGCUAGCGGCAGGCUUAACACAUGCAAGUCGAGGGGCAGCGGGUUUGUAGCAAUACAGAUGCCGGCGACCGGCGCAAGGGUGCGUAACGCGUGAGCGACAUGCCCGUCUCAGGGGGAUAAUCCGGAGAAAUCCGGUCUAAUACCCCAUGGUCCCGUUGGGAUGCAUGUCCUGAUGGGUAAAGAUACGUCGGAGACGGAUUGGCUCGCGUGACAUUAGCUGGACGGCGGGGUAACGGCCCACCGUGGCUACGAUGUCUAGGGGAACUGAGAGGUUGGUCCCCCACACUGGAACUGAGACACGGUCCAGACUCCUACGGGAGGCAGCAGUGAGGAAUAUUGGACAAUGGGCGGAAGCCUGAUCCAGCCAUGCCGCGCGAAGGAUUACGGUCCUAUGGAUUUUAAACUUCUUUUGCACGGGAGCAAUAAGGGUCACGCGUGGCCCGAUGAGAGUACCGUGCGAAUAAGCAUCGGCUAACUCCGUGCCAGCAGCCGCGGUAAUACGGAGGAUGCGAGCGUUAUCCGGAUUCAUUGGGUUUAAAGGGUGCGUAGGCGGUGGCGUAAGUCAGCGGUGAAAUUCACGGGCUCAACCCGUGCCGUGCCGUUGAUACUGCGUUGCUGGAGUACUGUCGCCGUGGGAGGAAUGUGUGGUGUAGCGGUGAAAUGCAUAGAUAUCACACAGAACACCGAUUGCGAAGGCAUCUCACGAGGCAGGGACUGACGCUGAUGCACGAAAGUGCGGGGAUCAAACAGGAUUAGAUACCCUGGUAGUCCGCACAGUAAACGAUGAUGACUAGCUGUCGGCGAUAGACAGUCGGUGGCUAAGCGAAAGCGAUAAGUCAUCCACCUGGGGAGUACGACCGCAAGGUUGAAACUCAAAGGAAUUGACGGGGGCCCGCACAAGCGGAGGAACAUGUGGUUUAAUUCGAUGAUACGCGAGGAACCUUACCCGGGCUCGAACGGUGCAGGAAGCCUUCAGAGAUGGAGGCGCUCUUCGGAGCCUGUAUCGAGGUGCUGCAUGGUUGUCGUCAGCUCGUGCCGUGAGGUGUCGGCUUAAGUGCCAUAACGAGCGCAACCCUUGCUGACAGUUGCCAUCAGGUAAAGCUGGGGACUCUGUCGGGACUGCCACCGUAAGGUGUGAGGAAGGGGGGGAUGACGUCAAAUCAGCACGGCCCUUAUGUCCGGGGCGACACACGUGUUACAAUGGUGGGUACAGCGGGAAGCUACGCGGCGACGCGGUGCAAAUCUCGAAAACCCAUCCCAGUUCGGAUCGGAGUCUGCAACCCGACUCCGUGAAGUUGGAUUCGCUAGUAAUCGCGCAUCAGCCAUGGCGCGGUGAAUACGUUCCCGGGCCUUGUACACACCGCCCGUCAAGCCAUGGAAGCCGGGGGUGCCUGAAGUCCGUUACCGCAAGGAUCGGCCUAGGGCAAAACUGGUAACUGGGGCUA